Molecule: ribosomal RNA, 434 nt
Filed under: uncultured bacterium
Lineage: Bacteria
Description: partial 16S ribosomal RNA
Rfam family: Bacterial small subunit ribosomal RNA
Source: RNAcentral
AGCGAACGCUGGCGGCAGGCCUAACACAUGCAAGUCGAACGAACCUUUCGGGGUUAGUGGCGGACGGGUGAGUAACACGUGGGAACGUGCCUUUAGGUUCGGAAUAACUCAGGGAAACUUGUGCUAAUACCGAAUGUGCCCUUCGGGGGAAAGCUUUAUCGCCUUUAGAGCGGCCCGCGUCUGUUUAGCUAGUUGGUUGAGGUAAUGGCUCACCAAGGCGACGAUCAGUAGGUGGUCUGAGAGGAUGAUCAGCCACAUUGGGACUGAGACACGGCCCAAACUCCUACGGGAGGCAGCAGUGGGGAAUCUUGCGCAAUGGGCGAAAGCCUGACGCAGCCAUGCCGCGUGAAUGAUGAAGGUCUUAGGAUUGUAAAAUUCUUUCACCGGGGACGAUAAUGACGGUACCCGGAGAAGAAGCCCCGGCUAACUUCGUG